Molecule: long non-coding RNA, 165 nt
Organism: Hippopotamus amphibius kiboko
Lineage: Eukaryota; Metazoa; Chordata; Mammalia; Artiodactyla; Hippopotamidae
Exons: 3
Source: RefSeq, a predicted model, not a curated record
GUCCACCACAGGCUUCAGGAGCAUUUUAUCAACAACAACUUUGAAGUGAGAAUAUUGAAGCACAGAGUGACUAAGUAAUUUCUUCAACUUGACCAGAGAGUUGACAGAAAGAAGGCUGAUGAUGAGUGAAAAAGGCCCUACACAGUUGGGUCACGGGCUACUUCU